This 68-nucleotide transfer RNA is filed under the name Ostrea lurida. RNAcentral's name for it is "tRNA-Thr". The record is from RNAcentral. Lineage: Eukaryota; Metazoa; Mollusca; Bivalvia; Ostreida; Ostreidae.
AUCAGUUUUAGUAUAAUUUAAUUACAAUGGUCUUGUAAACCUUAAAUCUAAACUUUUAGAGGCUGAUU